RNAcentral lists this ribosomal RNA (371 nucleotides) under [Candida] sp. SBOSO. Its description in RNAcentral is "eukaryotic LSU rRNA". The stretch from base 63 to 215 matches the Rfam family "5.8S ribosomal RNA". The record is from RNAcentral. Lineage: Eukaryota; Fungi; Ascomycota; Saccharomycetes; Saccharomycetales.
GCGGAGAACAUUUUAUUAGUACACACACAACCAACCAAACAAGUCAAAACACACAAACUCAAAACUUUCAACAACGGAUCUCUUGGUUCUCGCAUCGAUGAAGAACGCAGCGAAAUGCGAUACGUAGUAUGACUUGCAGUUUUCGUGAAUCAUUGAAUCUUUGAACGCACAUUGCGCCCCGUGGUAUUCCGCGGGGCAUGCCGAGCUGAGCGUCGUUUUUCUCUCACGCAAGUGGUGAUGGGCCGCACGUUGGUGCGCCCGAAAGACAAGGAGCCGAUGUUCUACAAGUCGUCGGUGAACAACUCUUUGAAUUCGACCUCAGCCUGGUAGGAGUACCCGCUGAACUUAAGCAUAUCAAUAAGGCGGAGGAA